AAAUUGAAGAGUUUGAUCAUGGCUCAGAUUGAACGCUGGCGGCAGGCCUAACACAUGCAAGUCGAGCGGUAGCACAGAGAGCUUGCUCUCGGGUGACGAGCGGCGGACGGGUGAGUAAUGUCUGGGAAACUGCCUGAUGGAGGGGGAUAACUACUGGAAACGGUAGCUAAUACCGCAUAAUGUCGCAAGACCAAAGUGGGGGACCUUCGGGCCUCAUGCCAUCAGAUGUGCCCAGAUGGGAUUAGCUAGUAGGUGGGGUAACGGCUCACCUAGGCGACGAUCCCUAGCUGGUCUGAGAGGAUGACCAGCCACACUGGAACUGAGACACGGUCCAGACUCCUACGGGAGGCAGCAGUGGGGAAUAUUGCACAAUGGGCGCAAGCCUGAUGCAGCCAUGCCGCGUGUGUGAAGAAGGCCUUCGGGUUGUAAAGCACUUUCAGCGGGGAGGAAGGCGGUGAGGUUAAUAACCUCACCGAUUGACGUUACCCGCAGAAGAAGCACCGGCUAACUCCGUGCCAGCAGCCGCGGUAAUACGGAGGGUGCAAGCGUUAAUCGGAAUUACUGGGCGUAAAGCGCACGCAGGCGGUCUGUCAAGUCGGAUGUGAAAUCCCCGGGCUCAACCUGGGAACUGCAUUCGAAACUGGCAGGCUAGAGUCUUGUAGAGGGGGGUAGAAUUCCAGGUGUAGCGGUGAAAUGCGUAGAGAUCUGGAGGAAUACCGGUGGCGAAGGCGGCCCCCUGGACAAAGACUGACGCUCAGGUGCGAAAGCGUGGGGAGCAAACAGGAUUAGAUACCCUGGUAGUCCACGCCGUAAACGAUGUCGAUUUGGAGGUUGUGCCCUUGAGGCGUGGCUUCCGGAGCUAACGCGUUAAAUCGACCGCCUGGGGAGUACGGCCGCAAGGUUAAAACUCAAAUGAAUUGACGGGGGCCCGCACAAGCGGUGGAGCAUGUGGUUUAAUUCGAUGCAACGCGAAGAACCUUACCUGGUCUUGACAUCCACAGAACUUAGCAGAGAUGCUUUGGUGCCUUCGGGAACUGUGAGACAGGUGCUGCAUGGCUGUCGUCAGCUCGUGUUGUGAAAUGUUGGGUUAAGUCCCGCAACGAGCGCAACCCUUAUCCUUUGUUGCCAGCGGUCCGGCCGGGAACUCAAAGGAGACUGCCAGUGAUAAACUGGAGGAAGGUGGGGAUGACGUCAAGUCAUCAUGGCCCUUACGACCAGGGCUACACACGUGCUACAAUGGCAUAUACAAAGAGAAGCGACCUCGCGAGAGCAAGCGGACCUCAUAAAGUAUGUCGUAGUCCGGAUUGGAGUCUGCAACUCGACUCCAUGAAGUCGGAAUCGCUAGUAAUCGUAGAUCAGAAUGCUACGGUGAAUACGUUCCCGGGCCUUGUACACACCGCCCGUCACACCAUGGGAGUGGGUUGCAAAAGAAGUAGGUAGCUUAACCUUCGGGAGGGCGCUUACCACUUUGUGAUUCAUGACUGGGGUGAAGUCGUAACAAGGUAACCGUAGGGGAACCUGCGGUUGGAUCACCUCCUUA
This 1540-nucleotide ribosomal RNA is filed under the name Klebsiella pneumoniae. RNAcentral describes it as "bacterial SSU rRNA". It matches the Rfam family "Bacterial small subunit ribosomal RNA". Lineage: Bacteria; Pseudomonadati; Pseudomonadota; Gammaproteobacteria; Enterobacterales; Enterobacteriaceae. The record is from RNAcentral.